GCACAAACAACAUGCGUUCUAUGUGUUUGUCGUGUUAGGUCACAACAGUUUCCUGCGGCAUCGCUAUGAUGACCAGCCACGCUCACCUCACGC
Etheostoma spectabile (orangethroat darter) is the source of this 93-nucleotide long non-coding RNA. RefSeq lists it as uncharacterized. Lineage: Eukaryota; Metazoa; Chordata; Actinopteri; Perciformes; Percidae. The transcript has 3 exons. The record is from RefSeq and is a predicted model, not a curated record.